Molecule: ribosomal RNA, 450 nt
Filed under: uncultured bacterium
Lineage: Bacteria
Description: bacterial SSU rRNA
Rfam family: Bacterial small subunit ribosomal RNA
Source: RNAcentral
GUGGGGAAUAUUGGACAAUGGGCGAAAGCCUGAUCCAGCCAUGCCGCGUGUGUGAAGAAGGUCUUCGGAUUGUAAAGCACUUUAAGUUGGGAGGAAGGGCAGUAAGUUAAUACCUUGCUGUUUUGACGUUACCAACAGAAUAAGCACCGGCUAACUUCGUGCCAGCAGCCGCGGUAAUACGAAGGGUGCAAGCGUUAAUCGGAAUUACUGGGCGUAAAGCGCGCGUAGGUGGUUCAGCAAGUUGAAGGUGAAAUCCCCGGGCUCAACCUGGGAACUGCCUCCAAAACUGCAUGACUAGAGUACGGUAGAGGGUAGUGGAAUUUCCUGUGUAGCGGUGAAAUGCGUAGAUAUAGGAAGGAACACCAGUGGCGAAGGCGACUACCUGGACUGAUACUGACACUGAGGUGCGAAAGCGUGGGGAGCAAACAGGAUUAGAAACCCUUGUAGUCC